Molecule: long non-coding RNA, 3974 nt
Filed under: Salmo salar (Atlantic salmon)
Lineage: Eukaryota; Metazoa; Chordata; Actinopteri; Salmoniformes; Salmonidae
Description: lncRNA (ENSSSAG00000086093.1, ENSSSAG00000104258.1)
Source: RNAcentral
UGACUGCGCCCGGCUGGCGGGCGACCCUGGUUGCGCCCGGCUGGCGGGCGUCCCUGGCGGCUCCGGCGGCACUGACCCAGGAUUCACCAGGCUGGAGAGAUAUGAAGGAGGCCUAGCCCUGGGCGCAGGCACAGGACGCACCAGUCUGGCGGGCGGCUCUGGCGGCUCCGGGCUGGCGGGCGGCUCUGGCAACUCUGGCCCAGGAUUCACCAGGCUGGGGAGAUAUGAAGGAGGCCUGGCCCUGGGCGCAGGUACAGGAUGCACCAGUCUGGCGGGCGGCUCUGGCGGCUCCGGGCUGGCGGGCGGCUCUGGCGGCUCUAGCCCAGGAUUCACCAGGCUGGGGAGACAUGUAUGAGGCCUGGUCCUGGGCACAGGCACAUGACUCACCAGGCUGGGGAGACAUGAAAGAGGCCUGGCCCUAGGCGUAGGCACAGGACUCACCGGGCUGGCGGGCGGCUCUGACUGCUCUGGACAGGCGGACGGCUCUGGCGGCUCCGGACAGGCGGGCGGCUCUGGCGGCUCUGGACAGGCGGGUGGCUCUGGCGGCUCCGGACAGGCGGGCGGCUCUGGCGGCUUCGGACAGUCCGGGCGGCUCUGGCGGCUCCGGAGAGGCGGGCGGCUCUGGCGGCUUCGGACAGUCCGGGCGGCUCUGGCGGCUCCGGACAGGCGGGCGGCUCUGGCGGCUCCGGACUGGCGGGCGGCUCUGGCGGCUCCUGACUGGCGGGCGGCUCUGACGGCUCCUGACUGGCGGGCGGUUCUGGCGGCUCCGGACUGGCGGGCGGUCCUGGCGGCUCCGGACUGGCGAGCGGCUCUGGCGGCUCCGGACUGGCGAGACCCACUGGAGGCCUAGUCCUGGGAGGUGGCACAGGACGGACCAGGAUGGGGAGACCCACUGGGGGCCUAGUCCUGGGAGGUGGCACAGGACGGACCAGGAUGGGGAGACCCACUGGAGGCCUGGUCCGAGGAGGAGGCACAGGAUAAACCGGGCUGUGGGGGAGCACUGGAGUUCUGGUAUGGAGGCUCUUUACCCACACUCCAGGCUGAAUGCCCACUUUGGCCCAGCACGGGCGGAGAGCAGGCAUUGGGUGAACUGGACCCUCCCAGCGCUCUGGAGACACAGUGCGCAACGCCGGCGCAGGAUAACCUGGACCGAGGAGGCGCACUGGAGACCAGACGCGCUGAGCUGGCACCAUCCGCCCUGGCUCGAUGCCUGCACUCGCAUGGCACUUGCGGGGGGCUGGUAUGUAGCGCACCGGGCUUUGAAUGCGCACUGGGAACACCGUGCGCUCCACAGCAUAACACGGUGUCUUACCAGUACCACGCUGCUUCCGGUAAGCACGGGGAGUUGGCUCAGGUCUACCGCCUGACUCCGCCAAUCUCCCCGUGUGCACCCCUCAAAACAUUUUUUGGGGCUGCCUCCUGUGUCCGUUGCGCUCCCUUUCCUCAUACCAGCGCCUCUCAGCUCUCGCCGCCUCGAUCUCCCACUGCGGGCGGUGAUAAUCCCCAGCUUGAGCCCAUGGUCCUUUCCCGUCCAGGAUUUCCUCCCAAGUCCACGACUCCAGAUAGCUUUUCUCCUGGUGCCUCUCCUUGUGCUGCUCCUUCCUCCGCUGCUUGGUCCGUUGUUGGUGGGUAAUUCUGUAACGGCUGUCUGUGGAAGUAGACCAAGGUGCAGCAGAGGAUGUGUUCAUCAUUAGAAUUUUAAUAGAACAACGUGAACACUAUACAAAAAACAAGAAGACUGACAGCCAAAACAGUCCUGUCAGGUGCAAACACUAACAGAAACAAUUACCCACAAAACCCAAAGGAAAAACAUGCUCCUUAUGUGUGACUCCCAAUCAGCAACAACAAGCUUCAGCUGUGCCUGAUUGGGAGCCACACACGGUCCAAAACAAAGAAAUACAAAAACAUAGAAAAAGGAACAUAGAACGCCCACCCAAUGUAACACCCUGGCCUAACCAAAAUAAAGAACAAAAACCCCUUAGCCAGACCAGUCAAUUUACACUUUGUUAGCUACUGUACAUCUAAUCAACAAAUCAUACAAACAUAGCUAAUUGCCUUCAAUAGGAUAUACAUAAUAAUUAAUACUCUAAGCAUUACAUUGAAUAAAUGUAUAAUUAGUGUGUGCGUUUUGAAAUAAAUAUUGAAUCAGUAGCCGACGAAUGAGCAAUUAAAGAAGCGCCACUCAUAGUCUUUGUAAAUGAAACUAAACUAGUUUUGAUAGUCUGUGGAACACAAGCCUACAAAAUACAAUACCACCACAGAGCUCCUGAGUGGCGCAGCGGUCUAAGGCAUUGCAUCGCAGUGCUAGAGGCGUCACUACAGACCCUGGUUUGAUUCCAGGGUCUGUAGUGCCAUUUAUUUUGGGUUAUAAUCAUAUACAAAGUAUGCUGAAUAAUGUUCAUACCAUUGUCACCAAACAACUGUAUUACACUCAAAAUAAUUAGAAUUCAGAUGUUAAUCUGGGUGAUGACACUAGCUUGCUAAAUUAGCUAACCAAACCCAUUAUGAUGGUUAGCUAGCAUGGUAGCUAUCUCUACUGCUACAUCUGUUGAGUGGUGUGGGGGCUGUGCUUUGGCAAAGUGGGUGGGUUUAUAUCCUGCCUGGUUGGCCCUGUCUGGGAGUAUCAUCGGACGGGGCCACAGUGUCCCCCCAACAAAUCAAAUACAUUUUAUAUUUGAGAUUCUUCAAAAUAGCCACCCUUUGUCUUGAUAACAGCUUUGCACACUCUUGGCAUUCUCUCAACCAGCGUCAUGAGGUAGUCACCUGGAAUGCAUUUCAAUUAACAGGUGUGCCUUGUUAAAAGUUAAUUUGUGGAAUUUCUUUCCUUCUUAAUGUGUUUGAGCCAAUCAGUUGUGUUGUGACAAGAUAGGGGUGGUAUACAGAAGAUAGCCCUAUUUGGUAAAAGACCAAGUCCAUAUUAUGGCAAGAACAUUUCAAAUAAGCAAAAAGAGACGCCAGUCCAUCAUUAUUUUAAGAUAUGAUGGUCAGUCAAUCUGGAAAAUGUCAAGAACUUUGAAAGUUUCUUCAAGUUCAGUCGCAAAAACCAUCAAGCGCUAUGAUGAAACUGGCUGUCAUGACGAGCGCCAGAGGAAAGGAAGUCCCAGAGUUACUUCUACUGCAGAGGAUACGCUUAUUAGAGUUACCAGCCUCAUAAAUUGCAGCCCAAAUAAAUGCUUCACAGAGUUCAAGUAACAGACACAUCUAAAAGUCAACAUUUCAGAGGAGACUGUGUGAAUCAGGCCUUCAUGGUAAAUUGCCGCAAAGAAACCACUAAUAAAGGACACUAAUAAUAAGAAGAGACUUGCUUGGGCCAAGAAACCCGAGCAAUGGACAUUAGACGGGUGGAAAACUGUCCUUUGGUCUGAUGAGUCCAAAUUUUAGAUUUUUGGUUCCAACCGCCGUGUCUUUGUGAGAUGCAGAGUAGGUGAAUGGAUGAUCUCCGCAUGUGUGGUUCCCACAGUGAAGCAUGGAGGAGGAGGUGUGUGGUGUGGGGGUGCUUUGCUGGUGACAGUGUCAGUGUUUUAUUUAGAAUUCAAGGCACACUUAACCAGCAUGGCUACCACAGCAUUCUGCAGUGAUACGCCAUCCCAUCUGGUUUGAGCUUAGUGGGACUAUUAUUUGUUUUUCAACAGGACAAUGACCCAACUCACCUCCAGGCUGUGUAAGGGAUAUUUGACCAAGAAGGAGAGUGAUGGAGUGCUGCAUCAGUUGACCUGGCCUCCACAAUCACCCGACCUCAAUCCAGUUGAGAUGGUUUGGGAUGAGUUGAACUGCAGAGUGAAGGAAAAGCGGCCAACAAGUGCUAAGCACAUGUGGGAACUCCUUCAAGACUGUUGGAAAAGUAUUCCGGGUGAAGCUGGUUGAAAGAAUGUCAAGAGUGUGCAAACCUGUCAUCAAGGCAAAGGGUGGCUACUUUGAAGAAUCUAAAAUAUAUUUUGAUUUGUUUAACCUCUUACAUCUAGACGUUCCGCUAG